Non-coding RNA from Streptomyces sp. MBRL 601, 189 nucleotides. The record is from Rfam. Lineage: Bacteria; Bacillati; Actinomycetota; Actinomycetes; Kitasatosporales; Streptomycetaceae.
GUCGCGCAAGCGCCGUAGACAGGAGCGGGGGACCCAAGGUUUGCCGCCGCACCGGCCGUUCGCCCCGUCACGGGGCGGACGCCGGAGCGGCUCGGGGUGAAGCCGCGCGUUCCGCACUGGAGCGCGCGGCCGGGCACUCAUCCGGCCCGAACCCGACAGCUCACCUCGUAGGCGUCGGUGAGGAGAUUC